RNAcentral lists this ribosomal RNA (510 nucleotides) under uncultured bacterium. RNAcentral describes it as "bacterial SSU rRNA". It matches the Rfam family "Bacterial small subunit ribosomal RNA", at positions 389 to 901 of the family's 1533-position model. The record is from RNAcentral.
CAGCCACGCCGCGUGGGUGAUGAAGGCCUUCGGGUUGUAAAGACCCUGUCGGAGGGGGACGGAAGUCUUCGGAUUGACGGUACCUUCCAAGAAAGCACCGGCUAACUCCGUGCCAGCAGCCGCGGUAAUACGGAGGGUGCAAGCGUUGCUCGGAAUUACUGGGCGUAAAGCGUACGCAGGCGGUCUGAUAAGUCGGGUGUGAAAGCCCCGGGCUCAACCCGGGAACUGCAUUCGAAACUGCCAGACUUGAGUUUGGGGAGAGGGGAAGUGGAAUUCCUGGUGUAGAGGUGAAAUUCGUUGAUAUCAGGAGGAACACCGGCGGCGAAAGCGGCUUCCUGGCCCGAUACUGACGCUCAUGUACGAAAGCGUGGGGAGCAAAACAGGAUUAGAUACCCUGGUAGUCCACGCCGUAAACGAUGAGUGCUAGAUGUUGGAGGUAUUCACCCCUUCAGUGUCGAAGCUAACGCAUUAAGCACUCCGCCUGGGGAGUACGGCCGCAAGGUUAAAACU